RNAcentral lists this long non-coding RNA (607 nucleotides) under Rattus norvegicus (Norway rat). RNAcentral describes it as "long non-coding RNA NONRATT015899". Lineage: Eukaryota; Metazoa; Chordata; Mammalia; Rodentia; Muridae. The record is from RNAcentral.
AAAAGAUCUUUACCAAUCCUACAACAGAUAGAGGCCUUAUAUCCAAAAUAUACAAAGAACUCAAGAAGUUAGACCGCAGGGAAACAAAUAACCCUAUUAAAAAAUGGGGCUCAGAGCUAAACAAAGAAUUCACAGCUGAGGAAUGCCGAAUGGCUGAGAAACACCUAAAGAAAUGUUCAACAUCUUUAGUCAUAAGGGAAAUGCAAAUCAAAACAACCCUGAGAUUUCACCUCACACCAGUGAGAAUGGCUAAGAUCAAAAACUCAGGGGACAACAGAUGCUGGUGAGGAUGUGGAGAAAGAGGAACACUCCUCCAUUGCUGGUGGGAUUGCAAACUGGUACAACCAUUCUGGAAAUCUGUCUGGAGGAUCCUCAGAAAAUUGGACAUUGAACUGCCUGAGGAUCCAGCUAUACCUCUCUUGGGCAUAUACCCAAAAGAUGCCCCAACAUAUAAAAAAGACACGUGCUCCACUAUGUUCAUUGCAGCCUUAUUUAUAAUAGCCAGAAGCUGGAAAGAACCCAGAUGCCCUUCAACAGAGGAAUGGAUACAGAAAAUGUGGUACAUCUACACAAUGGAAUAUUACUCAGCUAUCAAAAACAACGACUU